GACGAACGCUGGCGGCGUGCCUAAUACAUGCAAGUAGAACGCUGAAGAGAGGAGCUUGCUCUUCUUGGAUGAGUUGCGAACGGGUGAGUAACGCGUAGGUAACCUGCCUUGUAGCGGGGGAUAACUAUUGGAAACGAUAGCUAAUACCGCAUAACAAUGGAUGACACAUGUCAUUUAUUUGAAAGGGGCAAUUGACUCCACUACAAGAUGGACCUGCGUUGUAUUAGCUAGUAGGUGAGGUAAUGGCUCACCUAGGCGACGAUACAUAACCGACCUGAGAGGGUGAUCGGGCCACACUGGGACUGAGACACGGCCCAGACUCCUACGGGAGGCAGCAGUAGGGAAUCUUCGGGCAAAGUGGGGGCAACCCUGACCGAGCAACGCCGCGUGAUUGAAGAAGGUUCUCGGGAUCGUAAAGCUCUGUUGUAAGUCAAGAACGGGUGUGAGAGUGGAAAAGUUC
This 460-nucleotide ribosomal RNA is filed under the name uncultured bacterium. Its description in RNAcentral is "bacterial SSU rRNA". It matches the Rfam family "Bacterial small subunit ribosomal RNA", at positions 28 to 465 of the family's 1533-position model. The record is from RNAcentral.